AUUAUUAGUUUCAAGUGUCACAAGCUAGCUGUGUCCCAAACUGAAGCUUUUCCCCUGUUAACCUGGGGCCUGUUCUUCGUACGUCGCUAACUCAUUUAGCUGGAUUUGAUUGUUGAUGAUUUGGCGUGAUCUUGGAUCGUUUGGUUCUUCGAAGCUCAUCCCGGAGCUGCUGUCAUAGCAACAGGUCCGUCAGCUGAGGUUUAUUUCAUGUAAACAAAAACACUUGACUUGCAUCUGCAGCAAAAAGAAAUGCACAUACUGUAGCUCAAAGCUGUCUUAUGUUUGUUCUACUGGAAAACUCUUUCACUUAACAUCCUGGAGCUGGUCUAGUGAGGCCUCUGCUGAGUCAGAACACCAGACAGCUGGUCCGGAGGUGAUCUAUGAUGAUGUACCCUGUGAUGAUCUGUCUUCCGGAGAAGCUGACUUGAUCUAUGAAGACUUUCAGAAAGAGGAGGGCUUGCAAGGGCUCAAUAAUGGCUCGAGCUCAAGUGAGUUCGAAAGCUAUGACGAUGAGCAGUCCGUUUCUGAGAGGUCUCCAAGUCUCCAAGCCGCAGCAAGGUGCGUGUGUGUGUGUGUGUGUGUGUGUGUGUUAAUUCAAGACUCCCCACGACUGCAAUAA
This 619-nucleotide long non-coding RNA is filed under the name Carassius auratus (goldfish). Its description in RNAcentral is "lncRNA (ENSCARG00000031306.1)". The record is from RNAcentral. Lineage: Eukaryota; Metazoa; Chordata; Actinopteri; Cypriniformes; Cyprinidae.